GAUGAACGCUGGCGGCGUGCCUAAUACAUGCAAGUCGAGCGAACAGAUGAGGAGCUUGCUCCUCUGACGUUAGCGGCGGACGGGUGAGUAACACGUGGAUAACCUACCUAUAAGACUGGGAUAACUUCGGGAAACCGGAGCUAAUACCGGAUAAUAUAUUGAACCGCAUGGUUCAAUAGUGAAAGACGGUUUUGCUGUCACUUAUAGAUGGAUCCGCGCCGCAUUAGCUAGUUGGUAAGGUAACGGCUUACCAAGGCGACGAUGCGUAGCCGACCUGAGAGGGUGAUCAGCCACACUGGAACUGAGACACGGUCCAGACUCCUACGGGAGGCAGCAGUAGGGAAUCUUCCGCAAUGGGCGAAAGCUUGACGGAGCAACGCCGCGUGAGUGAUGAAGGUCUUCGGAUCGUAAAACUCUGUUAUUAGGGAAGAACAAAUGUGUAAGUAACUAUGCACGUCUUGACGGUACCUAAUCAGAAAGCCACGGCUAACUACGUG
This 497-nucleotide ribosomal RNA is filed under the name uncultured bacterium. RNAcentral describes it as "partial 16S ribosomal RNA". It matches the Rfam family "Bacterial small subunit ribosomal RNA", at positions 28 to 507 of the family's 1533-position model. The record is from RNAcentral.